Molecule: transfer RNA, 75 nt
Filed under: Clostridium sp.
Lineage: Bacteria; Bacillati; Bacillota; Clostridia; Eubacteriales; Clostridiaceae
Also listed under: 1 other name
Description: tRNA-Arg
Rfam family: tRNA
About the family: Transfer RNA (tRNA) molecules are approximately 80 nucleotides in length. Their secondary structure includes four short double-helical elements and three loops (D, anti-codon, and T loops). Further hydrogen bonds mediate the characteristic L-shaped molecular structure. tRNAs have two regions of fundamental functional importance: the anti-codon, which is responsible for specific mRNA codon recognition, and the 3' end, to which the tRNAs corresponding amino acid is attached (by aminoacyl-tRNA synthetases). tRNAs cope with the degeneracy of the genetic code in two manners: having more than one tRNA (with a specific anti-codon) for a particular amino acid; and 'wobble' base-pairing, i.e. permitting non-standard base-pairing at the 3rd anti-codon position.
Source: RNAcentral
GGAGUGUUAGUUAAACGGAUAUAACUUGCGGCUACGGACCGCACAUUGUGGGUUCGAUUCCUACACACUCUGCCA